CUGCAUCUAUCGGAUUUAUGUACACAGUACACCAAAGAUACUAUAUAUAUUAAAAUUAGUAGACUAAGCGUUACAGAUAGAGUGUUUGAUAAAUGGCAAAGUUAACUAUGGCAAACCUUUUUGCACUUUCCCUUUUGCUUUCAGUGAGAAUUGAACGGUGUGAAGGCACAAUUUGCCGUCGUUAUGAAGUUCUCAUCGAGAACUGCGAAUCUGGAAUUUGCUACAACGAGUGUACGAAGGCGGCAAAGGUUUCUCAGGUUCUAGAAUCGUCACGUUGCCUUAGAUCUGGCGUUUGUCUUUGCGAGUAUUUUUGCACAUAGCGGAAGAAAAAAAAAUAGUAAUAAAGAUUUAAAUAAUUCUCAUUAUAUAGGUUCUUAUUGAAAACCUGUCCAAUGAAUGAAUGAAAUGACUAUUUUCUCAUCGAAAAGAAUAGAGAUUUAUUAAAUAA
Molecule: non-coding RNA, 448 nt
Organism: Arachis ipaensis
Lineage: Eukaryota; Viridiplantae; Streptophyta; Magnoliopsida; Fabales; Fabaceae
Source: RefSeq, a predicted model, not a curated record